ACACAUGCAAGUCGAACGAAAAGAGGGAAAGAGCUUGCUCUUUCCGGAAUUGAGUGGCAAACGGGUGAGUAACACGUAAACAACCUGCCUUCAGGAUGGGGACAACAGACGGAAACGACUGCUAAUACCGAAUAAGUUCCAAGAGCCGCAUGGCCCAUGGAAGAAAAGGUGGCCUCUACCUGUAAGCUAUCGCCUGAAGAGGGGUUUGCGUCUGAUUAGCUGGUUGGAGGGGUAACGGCCCACCAAGGCGACGAUCAGUAGCCGGUCUGAGAGGAUGAACGGCCACACUGGAACUGAGACACGGUCCAGACUCCUACGGGAGGCAGCAGUGGGGAAUCUUCCGCAAUGGGCGAAAGCCUGACGGAGCAACGCCGCGUGAGUGAUGGCGGCCUUCGGGUUGUAAAACUCUGUGAUCCGGGACGAAAAGGCAGAGUGCGAAGAACAAACUGCAUUGACGGUACCGGAAAAGCAAGCCACGGCUAACUACGUGCCAGCAGCCGCGGUAAUACGUAGGUGGCAAGCGUUGUCCGGAAUUAUUGGGCGUAAAGCGCGCGCAGGCGGCUUCCCAAGUCCCUCUUAAAAGUGCGGGGCUUAACCCCGUGAUGGGAAGGAAACUGGGAAGCUGGAGUAUCGGAGAGGAAAGUGGAAUUCCUAGUGUAGCGGUGAAAUGCGUAGAGAUUAGGAAGAACACCGGUGGCGAAGGCGACUUUCUGGACGAAAACUGACGCUGAGGCGCGAAAGCGUGGGG
This 748-nucleotide ribosomal RNA is filed under the name uncultured bacterium. Its description in RNAcentral is "bacterial SSU rRNA". It matches the Rfam family "Bacterial small subunit ribosomal RNA", at positions 51 to 766 of the family's 1533-position model. The record is from RNAcentral.